RNAcentral lists this ribosomal RNA (253 nucleotides) under uncultured bacterium. Its description in RNAcentral is "partial 16S ribosomal RNA". It matches the Rfam family "Bacterial small subunit ribosomal RNA", at positions 524 to 776 of the family's 1533-position model. The record is from RNAcentral.
UACAGAGGUGGCAAGCGUUGUUCGGAAUUACUGGGCGUAAAGGGCGCGUAGGCGGUCUUGCAAGUCCUGUGUGAAAUCCCUCGGCUCAACUGAGGAACUGCACAGGAAACUGCUUGGCUUGAGUUCGGGAGAGGGAAGCGGAAUUCCGGGUGUAGCGGUGAAAUGCGUAGAUAUCUGCAGGAACACCCGUGGCGAAGGCGGCUGGCUGGACCGCAACUGACGCUGAGGAACGAAAGCUAGGGGAGCAAACAGG